UGUGAGAGGGGGCUUGCCCCCGAUAGCUGAGUGUCAGUCAACAUCAAAGUGACUGAUCUACUGCUAUCGGGGGCAAGCCCCCUCUCACA
RNAcentral lists this unclassified non-coding RNA (89 nucleotides) under Pseudomonas rhodesiae. The record is from RNAcentral. Lineage: Bacteria; Pseudomonadati; Pseudomonadota; Gammaproteobacteria; Pseudomonadales; Pseudomonadaceae.